This 425-nucleotide ribosomal RNA is filed under the name uncultured bacterium. RNAcentral's name for it is "partial 16S ribosomal RNA". It matches the Rfam family "Bacterial small subunit ribosomal RNA", at positions 354 to 796 of the family's 1533-position model. The record is from RNAcentral.
GUGGGGAAUCUUGCGCAAUGGGCGAAAGCCUGACGCAGCCAUGCCGCGUGAAUGAUGAAGGUCUUAGGAUUGUUAAAUUCUUUCACCGGGGACGAUAAUGACGGCACCCGGAGAAGAAGCUCCGGCUAACUUCGUGCCAGCAGCCGCGGUAAUACGAAGGGGGCUAGCGUUGCUCGGAAUUACUGGGCGUAAAGGGCGCGUAGGCGGACAGCUUAGUCAGAUGUGAAAGCCCAGGGCUCAACCUUGGAAUUGCCUUUGAUACUGGCUGUCUUGAGUUUGGGAGAGGUGAGUGGAACUCCGAGUGUAGAGGUGAAAUUCGUAGAUAUUCGGAAGAACACCAGUGGCGAAGGCGACUCACUGGCCCAAUACUGACGCUGAGGCGCGAAAGCGUGGGGAGCAAACAGGAUUAGAAACCCGAGUAGUCC